RNAcentral lists this ribosomal RNA (466 nucleotides) under uncultured bacterium. RNAcentral describes it as "partial 16S ribosomal RNA". It matches the Rfam family "Bacterial small subunit ribosomal RNA", at positions 28 to 523 of the family's 1533-position model. The record is from RNAcentral.
GAUGAACGCUGGCGGCGUGCCUAACACAUGCAAGUCGAGCGAACCCUUCGGGAUGAGCGGCGGACGGGUGAGUAACGCGUGGGUAACCUGCCCUAUACACACGGAUAACGUACCGAAAGGUACGCUAAUACGAGAUAAAGUUGUUGGGUGGCAUCUUCUAACAAUCAAAGCUCCGGCGGUAUAGGAUGGACCCGCGUCUGAUUAGCUAGUUGGUGAGGUAAUGGCUCACCAAGGCGACGAUCAGUAGCCGACCUGAGAGGGUGAUCGGCCACACUGGAACUGAGACACGGUCCAGACUCCUACGGGAGGCAGCAGUGGGGAAUAUUGCACAAUGGGCGAAAGCCUGAUGCAGCAACGCCGCGUGAGCGAUGAAGGUCUUCGGAUCGUAAAGCUCUGUCCUCAAGGAAGAUAAUGACGGUACUUGAGGAGGAAGCCCCGGCUAACUACGUGCCAGCAGCCGCCGUAA